GAAAUGCGAUAAGUAGUGUGAAUUGCAGAAUUCAGUGAAUCAUCGAAUCUUUGAACGCACAUUGCGCCCUUUGGUAUUCCUUAGGGCAUGCCUGUUCGAGCGUCAUUUAAACCUUCAAGCUCAGCUUGGUGAUGGGUGACUGUCUCCCCCCUCGCGGGGGGACUCGCCUCAAAAACAUUGGCGGCCGGUACAUUGGCUUCGAGCGCAGCAGAAACGCGGUCUCGAGUCCUGUGGAUCGGCUCCCAUAAGCCUCUUCUUUUAUUUUGACCUCGGAUCAGGUAGGGAUACCCGCUGAACUUAAGC
Molecule: unclassified non-coding RNA, 303 nt
Filed under: plant metagenome
Description: partial contains 5.8S ribosomal RNA, internal transcribed spacer 2, and large subunit ribosomal RNA
Rfam family: 5.8S ribosomal RNA (bases 1-105)
Source: RNAcentral